Molecule: ribosomal RNA, 1466 nt
Filed under: uncultured Bordetella sp.
Lineage: Bacteria; Pseudomonadati; Pseudomonadota; Betaproteobacteria; Burkholderiales; Alcaligenaceae
Description: partial 16S-23S ribosomal RNA intergenic spacer
Rfam family: Bacterial small subunit ribosomal RNA
Source: RNAcentral
GGUUUGAUUAUGGCUCAGAUUGAACGCUGGCGGGAUGCUUUACACAUGUCGAACCGGCAGCACGGACUUCGGUCUGGUGUGGCGAGUGGCGAACGGGUGAGUACCGUAUCGGAACGUGCCUAGUAGCGGGGAUAACUACGCGAAAGGUAGCUAAUACCGCAAUACGCCCUUCGGGGGAAAGCGGGGACCUUCACCUGCACUAUUAGGAGCGGCCGAUAUCGGACUAAUGGCUGGCGGGGGUAACCGGGGCUCACUGCUGGGGCGACGAUCCGUGGCCGGUUUGAGAGGACGACCAGCCACACUGGGACUGAGACACGGCCCAGAGCUCCUACGGAGGCAGCAAGGGGGAAUUUUGGACAAUGGGGAAACCCUGAUCCAGCCAUCCGCGUGUGCGAUGAAGGCCUUCGGGUUGUAAAGCACCUUUGGCAGAGAAACGGUACGAUAAUACCCGCAACCUGACGGUACCUGCAGAAUAAGCACCGGCUAACUACGUGCCAGCAGCCGCGGCAAUACGUAGGGUGCAAGCGUUAAUCGGAAUUACUGGGCGUAAAGCGUGCGCAGGCGGUUCGGAAAGAAAGCAGGAAUCCCAGAGCUUAACUUUGGAACUGCAUUUUUAACUACUGGAGCGAGUGUCAGAGGGAGGUGGAAUUCCGCGUAGCAGUGAAACGGUGUAGAUAUGGCGGAGGUACACUGAUGGCGAAGGCAGCCUCCUGGGAUAACACUGACGCUCAUGCAUCGAAAGCGGGGAGCAAACAGGAUUAGAUACCCUGGUAGUCCACGCCCCAAACGAUGUCAACUAGCUGUUGGGGCCUUCGGGCCUUGGUAGCGCAGCUAAUGUGAAGUUGACCGCCUGGGGAGUACGGUCGCAGAUUAAAACUCAAAGGAAUUGACGUGGACCCGCACAAGCGGUGGAUGAUGUGGAUUAACGAUGCAACGCGAAAAAACCUCACUGUCUUUGACAUAAACGGAAUCCUGAAUAGAUUUGGGAGUGCUCGCAGAGAACUUGAACACAGGUGCUGGCAUGGCUGUCGUCAGCUCGUGUCGUGAUGUUGGGUUAAGUCCCGCAACGAGCGCAACCUUGUCAUUAGUUGCUACGAAGCGCACUCUAAUGAGACUGCCGGUGACAAACCGGAGGAAGGUGGGGAUGACGUCAAGUCCUCAUGGCCCCGCGGGUAGGGCUUCACACGUCAUACAAUGGUCAGACAGAGGGUCGCCAACCCGCGAGGGGGAGCCAAUCCCAGAAACCCGAUCGUAGUCCGGAUCGCAGUCGUAACCUCGACUGCGUGGAAGUCGGAAUCGCUAGUAAUCGCGGAUCAGCAUGUCGCGGUGAAUACGUUCCCGGGUCUUGUGCACGACCCCUGCCCGCUCAUGACCAUGGGGAUGGUUUUACCAGAAGCAGUUAGCCUAACCGCGAGGGCGAUUACCACGGUAGGAUUCAUGACUGGGGUGAAGUCGUAACAAGGUAG